AGACACCCUGAUGUGUUUAAAUAGUUUAAAACAUGGUCUGUCUGCAGAUUUAUUUGAGCUACUUUUAGGCUUAACUAAUAUCUUACACUCACUCAACAAUCAGAUUUUUUGUGUUUUUUAAGUUCUGCAUGUUAAACCACAGCAGCCGUUUCCUGUCGCUGACUCCAGAUCACCAUAGACUUUUUAGAUUAAAUAAUUUUAAUGUUAAAUAUUGACUAUGUCAACAGAUAAAGGCACGAAUGACGUCACAGACGAUAUCACAUACAGUGAAAUGAAAAUAUCACAUCGUCGGCAACAACCAAUCAAACAAAGCGGAGUUGUGCCUCGAGAAAGUGACCCAGCUGUGGUCUACUCAACAGUGAGAACUAAAGAUGGCAAAUAUGGACAAAUAGGUGUCAGACCAAAGAAGACCACAGAAUGAGAUGUGAUCGACUCUUCAGUCCACCAAUCCAACCACUGACAUCCAGCUUCUGGUCUCUAUAUUGUCAGCUCUCCACCUCAGAGGAGACCACAUUCACUCGUUGAUACAGAUGUUUGUUUUAUGUCUUUUUAUGACUGAAUAAGACCCAAAAGUCACACCCUUUUUAACAGGGAUUUUAAAAGAGUUUUUUUUCUGUAAUAUAUGUGACAAUUAUUUAAAUAGGCUCAUAUGAUUUAUGUCCUUAGUAACUUUUGUGUUAUUUAUAUUUUAUUUAUGUUUGUUGUAUUUUAGGAUGGAUCAAUAAACUUUUGAUUUUACUUGCUUUUCACACGUGGUUCUGUGGGUUGCAUAAAGGUCACACAUGGAAAAUUUGAUUUGUUACAGUCUGCAUGUGGUUAACCGAUAGUGCAGAAAACGAUGAAAAUUAAACCACAAGUGCAGACUAAAAACAGCAGGAGCAUUAUUCAGUGGCUGUAGGAUGCACAGAAAAGCAUCACUACAGGAUGUGUGCAUGUGUGUGUGUUUGAAACUAAAGAAUUUGAUCUUUUUUCAUUUCUGCACUCAAUGAGAAACCAGUUGGCAGCAGAUGACGUGGCAAAAAAUGUUCCAUUUUUCAUUGAAUAACUCUUGACUUUUUACAGCAAACAUGCAGAAACCCAUUUAUUGCUAUUUUUUUAUUAUUUCAUUUAUUGAUUAUGAUGAAAAUAGAGAGUUGAAGUGUUUCAGUGUCUGAUUAACUACAAACUUAUGAGCAUCUCAGGCAGACUGGAUCACACCACCUGAAGCUGAUUAGAGCUCCAUAUGUUAAACAUCUCUGUGAAGAACAAAAUGGCCACAAAUCAUAUUUAAAGUCUUCUGGGACUUAGUGAUAAUUCCAUCUGGGUGUUUCAGAUGACUAACAAAAGAUUUUGCUAAUCAUGUUCACAAGAUGCAAAUCUAAAUUAGGGUUUUUUUUCUAGAUAUUGUACAAUAUGACAGAAAUUUUCACUACUGCAGUAAUGAUCUGUAUGUUAAGUAUCUGGUGUGUGCAUAUUUUAGGAUCUCAAACAUUUAGUAUACAGAUAACAUCUGUCAAAUAUCUAGUUUUGGGGCUUUAAUAUACAUGAUCUCAAAACUGGAUAUUUCAAAGAUAAAGUUAGUAUGCAAAGAGAUCUGAGAACAGCUCUUCGGUGGAUUAAAUAUUUGGAUCUUGCAUGUGUACUUUACUCAUCUACUCAUGGGGGCCUUUUGAAUUGCCAAGACCAAUGACCAAUUUGCCAUCGGUGACCCUACCUGGGUGCAAAAGCCGCCCUUACAACACAGCCUAUGGGAUCCCUAGUGUUUUUUUUACUGGACUUCUGUGCAACUUUACAGUUUGUCCAUAACAAACACCAUGUUUGAUAAUAAGGGUGUCUAUAAGUGCACAUGGCACCAGGACACCCUAUGUCACAGGACAAUGAUCGAUCUUGUAAUCCUGCCAGACCUGCAGCAACACACUCAGACAAAAACUGGUUCACCCGAA
Long non-coding RNA from Haplochromis burtoni (Burton's mouthbrooder), 1922 nucleotides. RefSeq lists it as uncharacterized. The record is from RefSeq and is a predicted model, not a curated record. The transcript is spliced from 3 exons. NCBI's taxonomy places the organism in Eukaryota, Metazoa, Chordata, Actinopteri, Cichliformes, Cichlidae.